GUCUACAGUCAUGCCACCCUGAAUGUGCCUGAUAUCGUCUGAUCUCAGAAGCUAAGCAGCGUCGGGCCUGGUUAGUACUUGGAUGGGAGACAACCUAGGAGGACCAGGUGCUGUAGACG
Molecule: ribosomal RNA, 119 nt
Filed under: Pteropus vampyrus (large flying fox)
Lineage: Eukaryota; Metazoa; Chordata; Mammalia; Chiroptera; Pteropodidae
Source: RNAcentral